Spinacia oleracea (spinach) is the source of this 1406-nucleotide long non-coding RNA. RefSeq lists it as uncharacterized. Lineage: Eukaryota; Viridiplantae; Streptophyta; Magnoliopsida; Caryophyllales; Amaranthaceae. The record is from RefSeq and is a predicted model, not a curated record. The transcript is spliced from 7 exons.
AAAGAUUUAUCUCAAACCUCAAGACCAAAUUCGAAAGUCAUAUCGUUCUGCGCCUAGUCCUCCUUUCUUCUUCCCUCAGCUUUCCCUUCGUCUUGCCCGUCGCCGGUGGUUCUCGCCAGUCGCCGUCGCCACUGGGUCUCGCCCGUCGCCGGUGGAACUCCAGCAAGGGUCUAUUCCCUCCCCUCCUCACCGGUGGUCCCCUGCUCGAAAAACCACCUUCCCUGCUCGAAACACCACCGUGAAGUCCAUCCUUGCUCGAAAAACGCCGGUGGUUCCAAGUAAUUAUGUUGCUCGCGAACCCUGUUCUCCGUCAAUCCUCGCCGCGGCAAAGUAUCAGGUAUGAGUUUAAAACAAAUCAUGGAGAAUGGAUCACGUCAGUGAAACCGAAGUUUGGGGAUAAUAUAUCUGGACGUGUUCGUACAACAAUCAAGUCAGUACCUGAGGAUGUAAAAGUUCUGUACAAAGUGAGGACCGAAUUGCGUUCUGCAUUACAGAACCUGCUAAAGGAAGAUGGAAUUCUUGUUCUUCCAACAAUAGUUUAUCCUCCAAUAAAACGCAACUCAAGAAACUGUCAGUUUGCGGGGAGUUUUAUGAUCAAGCACUAGUCUUAUCCUGCAUAUCAAACAUGUCUGGUUGCUGUCAGGUAUUGAAUAGUCAGUCUUAUUUGACUUAACCUAUCCAUAUGGACUUCGUUCUACAACACAAGAGGAUUCAGAUUCUUCCUCUGACAGAAUGUCGCAGUUUGGAACUGCAAGAGAGUACCAUAUGCAGACUGAGUUGUGGUAUGAUGACAAAGAUGAUGGAUCAUAUAUGACUCCUAGCUUUGGUGGGUUAGACCCUUUUACCUGCCCGGGUGAGGAUAAGUUUGCACGACUUCUGGGAUGGUAAACUGCCUUUGAACACAUCAUCCAUGGAUACUGUUAUUGGUGUCUCCAAAGUACGCGACUUUCCUGCUGCUCCACUACUUGCUGAAAUGUUUAGAAUUCUGAAGCCAAGAUGGAAGAAUUCUGAUUCAUUUGACUGAACUUUCUGGUGAUCUACCUUCCAAAAAUAUUCUUUCUUCUCUGCAUCGGCAGAUACUUGUAGCCGGAUUCUUGGAACCAGAAGCUGGCCAGAAGCAACCUUUCUUUUUCAGGAGUUCAGUCUAUACAAGUCUAUACUCUGAGGAAUGCGCCUUAUGCUAGUGAGGAAAUUGAUGCUGUUCGUGAGCAAUGGGCUAAGUUUUUUACCAGGAAGUAUUUAUUAUUAGCCUGAGCGCUUGAUCGAGUUUGUUUAGAUGUUAUAGAAUAAUUUUUUUUUUAUUAAAAUGUAUGCGUACGUUGAAAUUGAAACGUACAUAUAUUUAAAUAUAUUGGUACGUGCACUUUGGUUUUUGGAUAUAUACAAAACUACAAUUAUUGUUUUUA